UUAGUGUCUCGAGGAAUCUGUCUGGGUGUGGGACACACUGUUUGGCAGUCACAGGCGUGGAUCCAGCACAAGGGCAGCAGUUUAUUCCUCCAGCCAAUAGGAAGAAGAUGGUUUGUACUGGUGAAUCUCUGCUGAGGAUGGAAGGAGCCAAGAACUUCCAUAACUGCCCUUACAAAGGAUUCCCACAGAGCUUUGUUUUGUGUGACUGUGGAAAAAGAGGUGGAUUUGUGUCGCCUGCAAGCUCAUCCCAUCACUGCUGAGCGCUUUGUUUAUCCAUUCUCCAGGAAAGAUGUGCUGGGCUGUCAUGUUUGAUUGUUAGGAGGUUUUAUGAGGUCUCUGCUGCAAUGAUUUUAAGCUUGUUCUGUCCUGAGGCAGGAGCACCAAGGCUCUCCUGCUCUCGCUGGGGCGUGUGGAACGUGGAGCUGCCAGUGAACUGAACUCUUCAGCGUGCAAAGAACUGUCCCAGUGAGCAGAGCUGUGCUCAUUCACUCCCUGCAGACAAAUCACAUUUGCUCUCCACAGCAUUUUCUCUUGGGAGGACCAGUUACUGGCUUGUGUCACAAGCAGCCUGCCUCUCCUCAGUGAUUUAUUCCUCCAGGCACACUCGGAUCCCUUUCACCUCUCAGGGAUCCAAAUUCCACUCCCUUCCACUGCAGGAGUGUGUGGGGCUGUGAGCACAGAAAUUGUUCUUGAGUAUCAGUUCAGGUUCAUCUGGUUUUGUUUCUGGUGGGGCUGUGAGCACAGAAAUUGUUCUUGAGUAUCAGUUCAGGUUCAUCUGGUUUUGUUUCUGGUGCAGAGCUGCAGAGUGUGGUGUGUGUGUACAAACACACACGUGCUUGCAGGGAUGAAAGGCCUCAGCAGCCUCCUGUAUUCAUUAGCUGACCCAAAUUCUGCCCAGACUUGCAGAGCCUGUCAGGAUAACCAGAAUAACAGUAGAUAACCAGAAUGGCAAAAUUCCCCUUCUUCCUUUACCUGCUGCAGCUGGUUUGAGGGUAGUAUAUUUAUAUAAAUAUUUUAUGUAUAAAUAAUUGACAGUAUUCUAUUACCCUAUACAUUAUUAUGCAUAGGGUAACAUUUUUCUUGUUUUAAGGGUGAUUAAAACAACUGAAUUUGAGACAGAAAGCAAGGAAUAAGAAAGAGAAAGUGAUGUCAAAAUUUGAUUGCAAGCAUAUGGGUACCUCCCCACAUCCCUUAUGGCUGUCACUGGAUUCCUCUGGUGACAUUACACUUGUUUCCCUCCUGAAAUUCAAUCUGUGUUUUCUCAUCUGAGUAAAGUUUCAGUAUUUCUGCUCUCUGUUGCUUUCUGCAGGAGCCAUUUAGGAGAUGAGCUGUGUAAGAAUGCAGUAAAAGACUGAAAUGCUCUGCAAGCUGCUGUGGUGAGCAAACCUUGUUGGCUUGGCUUGGGCCAAGUGUCACUUCAGUGUCACCUGGGACUGCCAGCCCUUUUCAGGCUCCUCCCUAUUGCAAUACAGCUUUUCCAGGCUGGAGCAGGAGCAGGAAAAGAAAUAAUUCAAAAAUAAUCCAGAAGAACGGGGAGGUCACCCACUAUGAACCCUGACUCGUGGGGUUUUAGCCUUCCUGGUUAAAUAUACAAAGCCAAGGGUUCUGGUGCCUUGCACAGUACAUUAAACAGCUUAAUCACACCGUUCUCUCUCACAUUCAUAAAUUUAGUGUUUGUUCUCCUGAAGCAGCUGUUUUCUUCUCUUGCUCUACUUUAGCUCUUCUUCAGAAUACAAAUUCAAGCUCAUUUCCAUUUUUUUUCCAGACCUAACACUUUAAAGUUUGGUUUUUAACCCUUUAGACUAAAACUUGAGUUGUUUGAGGACCACUCUUUUAUUUUUCAAAUAAAAUAUUCCUUUGCAGUUAAAUAUUUCCCAGUGUUCUUGAUCAUCCUUUUGGAAGGAGGAUCUUCUGGGACAGUGUCUGAGACAGAAGAGCUUGUUCCUCUUCUUGAAUUUGACUUGAUUGCUUUCAUGCAGAACUAAUUGCCAUGUUCUCCCAGGUAAGUCCUCAUUCUGGAUGCACUUCAGUUUUUUGCACAUCAAAGAAUAAGACAGAGACUUUGGAGAUGGAACUUUUAAGAUGGAAAUUAAUAGGGGCUGUGCUUUGUCCUUCAGAAAACUUCAGAAAAUUUCAGAAAACCUAAAGUAGUCUGGAUUUGGCAGUUGAAAAUGUUGGUAAUAAUGGCAGAUACUGCUGACACCCCUUCCCUUCUCCCCACUUUGCUACAGGUUGAAGUCCUGUACAGAAAAGUCUGCUUCUCUUUAACAUCUAAAAAAGAUUGUGAUUGCAUCACUCAAUUAUUCAAAAAAACACCUAAAAGUUAUAGAUACAGCUUUAAAUAUCUCUAUUUAUGCAAAACUUAUAUAGGUGCUCACUAAAAUAACCAAAAUCAGCUAAAAUUAUCGUUCCUUGUUACACAUUUACAGCACAAUGGACAGAAAAACUUCCAGAAGUACCUGGAGAAAGAGCUGGCCCAGGUUUGUAGAUUGAGAGUUUGAUACAAAAGUCUAACUUUUAUUGAUGCCAUCUUCUCUCUCAGUCCCUGUUCCCUCCCUGUGAGCGUGGAGAGACAACUGCAGAGCCACUCACAGCUGGUGGAGACAAAAAUCCUGAAUAUCUAAAGUUGAUCUGGAAAAAAGAUAUUCUAAAAUCACUUCUACUGCACCACCAAGAUCAUCAGUCACAAACAGACCAGGAUAAAAAAUAUUCAAUGGAGAAAGGACAAAUUAAGGCCACACAAAAUCAGCCCCAGGAGCACAAAAUAUCAGUUUUUGUAGCUAUUUCCAGACUUCAUCAGAAUCCAAAGCAGGGAAAUUACUGAAGGCUAUGCUGACAGAGUUGUAGAAGUUUGUGAAAUUGUCAUUAUCAAAAUAGAGGUAGAUCUCCAGCCACGCUGUGGACAAUUAUGAAUUCAUAAUAUUUUGCAUCAGUGCAAAAUAGUGAAUGAAGCAGAGAAUUGCAUUACACAUUUAUUGGCAAUCACUGUCAAAAAGGUCUUGGACUUUCAGAGUUUUUGAAAUGCUCAUGGGCAAUGUGACUGAUGGAUAGAUGCAAUAUAUUUCUUUCUAGGAUGAGCUUAAAAGCUUUUUGAAUCCCUUACUGCUGCUUCAUUCCUCCCCUCCACCUCUCUUGCAUGUCUCAAAUGAAAAUACCACAUGAAAUAAAUUCAAGUGUACAUUUCUAAUCCAUGUAACUGAACAGCUGCAAUGGACUUUAUGGACUUCAACUUCUAUUUUUGAAUACCCAGAUGAUGGAGACAUACACUACAUCAAGUCAGACUUUAUAACCUUUGUCUGUCUCAAAAAACCGAGAAAUCCUUUUAGAAUAUCAAGUGGGCUUAGGCUGCAGUGAAGUUUGGCAAGUGUUCCUGACUGCCACAGCACAUUUGUAGCUAAACUGACAGUGCAGAUUCUCUAAACAUCCAAGCACAGCCAGGUUUAUCACAUUCUGCUUCUUGAUGUUUGUAAAUUAGUCUUGCUUCUCUCUAAUAAAAAUCCUUGUAGCAGAACCAAGUGUUCAGCAAUUCUAUGACAGGAGACACUAUUAUUUUGGAAGCACAGCUAUUUUUCUUCAAAUUAACUUGUUGACAAGAGGAAAACCAUGCUGGAGUCACUCAGAAUGUUUCCUGCUACAUGACAAAAAAAAACCUCCUCUAUCACUUGCAAUUUUAACGUGCUGUGCUUUUGUGGAGGAAAGAACUUUAUACACUGACAUCUCAAUGCCACUCACAUCUUCAGAUCUCAAAAAUAAAAUAAAAAAAUAGAGGUCAGUUCAUGAAAGCAAUUCCAGAUCUGCUGAAGGCUCAAAAAUCAGUUUUUGUCCCAAUAUUGAUCAGUCUUUGGGCUGACAUCAUUCUCAGUUUAACGGUUUAAAUUGCUUCAAACCCAUUCUUGGUGUAAGUUUCCCAGAAGAUAUAAAUAAAGAUUGCCAUAUGUGUUAUAUAAGAUUUCAGCUCUAUCCUGAAUUAGAUUAAACUCAAAUCAAACUGACAUUGUUGUUUUAGUUUUGAGUGCUCUGCUGGUGGUUCGAUGUUUUGAAGCAUUACACCUUAAAACCAGAAAAGAAGAGUGUUCAACCAGUUUAUCUAGCUCCACAAAGAGAAGGAGAGUGGCAGAAUUGCUAUAAUUUCCUUUGAAUUCAAAGCCUCCAAAUAAUCAAAGUGUGUGGAAGUUUUCUGUGAGGGUCUGUCCAGUGCCACUGGCUGGAACCCAGCUUCAAUCCAGGCAGGGGCUUUGUCCUUCCCCUCCCAGAGCCCCUCAAGCCUUCAGCCCUUCCCCAAACGUGUGCUUGGCACACAGCAAAACGCCUGUGCUUCCAGAAAUCAAAUAAAGAACAGAAAACAAUUGAAAGAAAUCAAUCCCAGCCCCAAACUGAGACAUUUCUGCAGUGCAGCUCAAAGCCCAGAGCCCAGCUGCAGCCCCAGAAAGCUGCACCCAGAGCAGAGGGGAUGGAUGGAUGGUUUUUCUUUUAAGAGCAGGAUUUAGAUGCAGAGUUGUCCACCCUAGAGUUUUGUCCCUUUUCCAUUAUUUUAAGUGCAGAGUUGUUUCCCAGGAUCCAGAGGAACAGCUCCUCUCAGCAGCAGCUUUUCCAUGGGAGUGCAGGCAGUGGUGAGCUGAUUUGCUGGCCUCCCUUCAGAGCCAAGCAGGGAUUUUACAUCUGUGCUUUUCUCUAAAAGCAGUUAGUGGCAUGAAAAGAUUUGAUUUGUAAAUGUCUGAGGCAAUAGACUUCAUCUUUAUAGCGCUCAGAGAAAGGAAGUGUGAGGCACUGAAUUGCACAGCUGCCUGCAGAAGAACCACUUUCUUUUCCAAGAUCACCAUUUAUCAGGCAGAUGAAACAGGAAUAUUUCUGUGAGCAUUGUCUCAAGAGCAGUACAGAAUCCAUCUCCCACCUCCUCAAGCAUGUGCUGUUUUAAUGAGUUUCCACCUGCCAAAAGAAUCUGAAGUUCUGCAGACUCCUUUGCCCUCCUGCUACACCUUUACUUCCACUUGCUAAAAACUGAUUAUUCAAGCAUUCACUGGAAGUAGUAGGCUGAAUUCACUGGAUGAAGGAUCACUCAAUAAUCACCUUCUCUUUUUAUUUUUUUUAUUUUUUUAAAGUAAAAAUCAAUAAUCAGGUUGGAUAUAAGGAAAAAUUCCUUAAUUGCAAGGGUGGUCUGGCAUGGGAAUGAGCUGCCCAGGGAAGUGGAGGAGCCUCAAACCCUAAAUAAACUGUAAAUAAAUGAGUGGAGCUGGUGGCACUUUGCCCCAACACCACCCCCAUUAACCACCUCCCAGAGGCUGGGUUUGGAGAUAUUUUGGAGAUAUUUUGGAGAUAUUUUGGAGAUAUUUUCCUUAAUGGUUCUGUCCUUCUGUGAUCACCCUUUGUAUUAAUCAAGAACCAAUAUCGGCAAUCACUCUUUGUUUUUAGGCUGUGGACAUCUAAAGCAAUUUGUGUGUGUAAAUGUGUCACACCAGGGAAUGUGUGGGGUGGGGUGUAAAGGCAACUCCAGCCCCAAAAUGCACAAACUCACGGCAAAUUUGAGAUAUCUGCAGGUGUAAACAAUAAAA
Poecile atricapillus (Black-capped chickadee) is the source of this 5549-nucleotide long non-coding RNA. RefSeq lists it as uncharacterized. The record is from RefSeq and is a predicted model, not a curated record. The transcript is spliced from 3 exons. Lineage: Eukaryota; Metazoa; Chordata; Aves; Passeriformes; Paridae.